Lepidothrix coronata (blue-crowned manakin) is the source of this 398-nucleotide long non-coding RNA. RefSeq lists it as uncharacterized. NCBI's taxonomy places the organism in Eukaryota, Metazoa, Chordata, Aves, Passeriformes, Pipridae. The transcript has 3 exons. The record is from RefSeq and is a predicted model, not a curated record.
GACGGCGUCGGGAUCGUCACCAGGAUCGGCUUCGUGUGGCUGCAGGGGAGCCGCCUGGACUGUGAGGCCAAACAGUGGCGGUGAGGCCACACCCCCUCCUCCAUAAGCCCCGCCCACUUCCCCUGUCAUUUCUGGGAUCAGGCCACGCCACGCCCCUCUCCUAUAGCCCCGCCCACUUCCCCUUCCACUUCCGGGAUCAGGCCACGCCCCCUCCCCCAUAAACCCCGCCCCUUCCCUGUCAUAAAUGGAGUCAGGCCACGCCCAUUCAUUAAGCCCCGCCCCUCUAGUGUCAUCGAUUGUGACAGGCCACGCCCCUUUCCCAAGCCCCGCCCCUCCAUUACCAUCUAUACUGACAAGCCACGCCCAUUCUUUGAAACCCCGCCCCCUCCCUUGCUACC